RNAcentral lists this ribosomal RNA (446 nucleotides) under uncultured bacterium. RNAcentral describes it as "bacterial SSU rRNA". It matches the Rfam family "Bacterial small subunit ribosomal RNA", at positions 470 to 916 of the family's 1533-position model. The record is from RNAcentral.
UGACGUUACUGACAGAAGAAGCACCGGCUAACUCCGUGCCAGCAGCCGCGGUAAUACGGAGGGUGCGAGCGUUAAUCGGAAUUACUGGGCGUAAAGCGUACGCAGGCGGUUUGUUAAGCGAGAUGUGAAAGCCCCGGGCUCAACCUGGGAACUGCAUUUCGAACUGGCAAACUAGAGUGUGAUAGAGGGUGGUAGAAUUUCAGGUGUAGCGGUGAAAUGCGUAGAGAUCUGAAGGAAUACCGAUGGCGAAGGCAGCCACCUGGGUCAACACUGACGCUCAUGUACGAAAGCGUGGGGAGCAAACAGGAUUAGAUACCCUGGUAGUCCACGCCGUAAACGAUGUCUACUAGAAGCUCGGAGCCUCGGCUCUGUUUUUCAAAGCUAACGCAUUAAGUAGACCGCCUGGGGAGUACGGCCGCAAGGUUAAAACUCAAAUGAAUUGACGG